UACGUAGGGUGCGAGCGUUGUCCGGAAUUAUUGGGCGUAAAGAGCUCGUAGGCGGUUUGUCGCGUCUGCCGUGAAAGUCCGGGGCUCAACUCCGGAUCUGCGGUGGAUACGGGCAGGCUGGAGGCAGGCAGGGGAGAACGGAAUCCCGGUGUAGCGGUGAAAUGCGCAGAUAUCGGGAGGAACACCGGUGGCGAAGGCGGUUCUCUGGGCCUGUACUGACGCUGAGGAGCGAAAGCGUGGGGAGCGAACAGG
This 252-nucleotide ribosomal RNA is filed under the name uncultured bacterium. RNAcentral describes it as "partial 16S ribosomal RNA". It matches the Rfam family "Bacterial small subunit ribosomal RNA", at positions 524 to 776 of the family's 1533-position model. The record is from RNAcentral.